This 253-nucleotide ribosomal RNA is filed under the name uncultured bacterium. Its description in RNAcentral is "partial 16S ribosomal RNA". It matches the Rfam family "Bacterial small subunit ribosomal RNA", at positions 524 to 776 of the family's 1533-position model. The record is from RNAcentral.
GACGUAGGUGGCGAACGUUAUCCGGAAUUAUUGGGCGUAAAGGGUGCGUAGGUGGCCAACUAAGUCAGACGUGAAAUCCCCAGGCUCAACCUGGGAACUGCGUCUGAUACUGGAUGGCUUGAAUUCGGGAGAGGGAUGCAGAAUUCCUGGUGUAGCGGUGAAAUGCGCAGAUAUCAGGAGGAACACCGGUGGCGAAGGCGCCACUCUGGGCCGAAACUGACGCUGAGGAGCGAAAGCGUGGGUAGCAAACAGG